UCAUCCAGUACCACCACAGGGCCAUCCAAUCCCUCCCCAGCAACAUCUGGCCCCUCUUCCAUAGGACUCAGUUUUACCCAUGAUGGACCUGAUAGAGAUUAACACAGGAGACUCUGAUGUAUUUCUAAGAAUGAAUUGUUUAGCGACGUAUCACGCCACCGUGGAUUGUUGCCAUGAGAAAAAUUGCAUUUAAGCCUCCUAAUGAAGAGUCAUUUACAAGCUAAUAAAGGUUUUGAAUAUUAUUACCUCAUAGAAAUUUCUUUAUCACACAGC
RNAcentral lists this long non-coding RNA (273 nucleotides) under Carica papaya (papaya). Its description in RNAcentral is "long non-coding RNA (CPAP_LNC016162)". The record is from RNAcentral. Lineage: Eukaryota; Viridiplantae; Streptophyta; Magnoliopsida; Brassicales; Caricaceae.